This 929-nucleotide long non-coding RNA is filed under the name Homo sapiens (human). RNAcentral's name for it is "HSALNT0360757". The record is from RNAcentral. Lineage: Eukaryota; Metazoa; Chordata; Mammalia; Primates; Hominidae.
CAGGGGCACAAGGGUUCACUGAAGACUCAGGAGAGGGGUUUAGAGCACAGCCUCCCUCUCCAGGGUCAGGUUCACGGGAGCUGUUGGGGGCUCCUUCCCUCGCAGCAGUGACCACUCCAAGGACCACGGCCUGGACAUGAGCGGCAGCGGUGAGCUGGGAGCUGCUGGCCUGGAGUCUAGAUGAAUAUAGGCAGCAGCCAAAGGCCACAGUCACGACAAACCUACACACUCUCACCACUGUCAUCUCAUAUUGUCCUAAAAUUUCCAGCCAGUGCAAAAAAACAUGAAAAAGAAAAAAUACAGCCAUUGGAAAAGAGGAAAAGUAAUUGUUAUUAGCUGAUGAUGUGAAUGUCUUCCUGAAAACCUUAAGAGAACCAACUGGAAAACAACCAGAAAUGAGAGCAUGGAGUUAGGCAACCGCCGAUCUGCUUUCUGUCACUUGGGCGAGUUUUUCCCGUCCUGGGAUUUCAUAUCUCUGGAAUCCUGCAGUACGUAGCCCUCUGUCUGGCUUCCUCGCUCCGUGUAAUGUUCUUGAGAUUCAUCCAUGCAGCUGUGUAUACCUGCAGUGAUUGUUUCUCUUGUUGAAUUGCUGAGAAGGGUUCCAUCGUAUGCCUUUUCCAGUUUAUUUGUUCAUCUGUUGUUAGACAUUUGAGUUAUUUCCAGCUUGGGACUCUUAUGAACAAAACUGCUAUAAACAUGCAUAUUCAAGUCUUUGUGGAUAUGUGCUUUCUUUUGUCCUGGAUAAAUGUCUCCACGUGGGCUUCCUGGGUCUCACGGACCUGCUGCAGGGGAAGGGGCCAGGAGGCCAGGAGACUGGACAGCAGGAGGCUCGAGGACCACGCAGACACUGGCCUUGGGAGCACCCACCUCUCUGACCCGCUCCAGAGGGGGCUAGAGACCUGGAGGCAAAGCCCAGGGUCAGAAACCAC